UUUACUCCCAGCAAACACCGAAUGUUUUAUACUUGUGCCGAGAUAUUUACAAAACUGAUUGUAAAAUACCAAGACACUUUUUCGGCAAAGACAGAAGAAAUUAUGAUUUUUCCUAUGAUGAAGUAAUUGUUAUCUUUUCUAUCAUAUCAAAAUUACACAAGAGUUGGGUCAGCAACGAUCACAUUAAAGUCAGAUCCUAGUACUCGAUAAUGCUGAACAAAUAUCUGAGGAAAUCUGACGAAGGGGUCACAUCAGAACAACCUCGCGCAAACUCUGACCGACCAAUGAAAUUACACGUAAUGGGAUGUACACAGACCUUUGUUGCACGGUAGUGAGAACUAAGAUUUGACUGUUCUGAUAUCAGAUCAGCUGUGUUAAAUUAAGGGUUAAACUUUAGUUUAUAACACUCUCUAUAGACAGGAUUUUGUCUGGAAUAUGUGUAUUCUUUACCCAGUCAAGUCCUGUUCAUUGUGUGAGUGAGUGAAUUCAUAAUAACCGCAACUCAAAUUUAACAAUCUGUCAACGAACGGCAGUAAAAUAACUAGAUUAAUACAGAUUAUUCACACCAGGUAUCAUGGUACAUAGAAAUGACACACAAGGUAUCAUGGCAUAUAGAAUGACACACAAGGUAUCAUGGUAUAUAGGAUGACACACAAAGUAUCAUGAUAUAUAGGAUGACACACAAAGUAUCAUGGUAUAUAGGAUGACACACAGGUAUCAUGGUAUAUAGGAUGACACACAAGGUAUCAUGGUAUAUAGAAUAACACACAAGGUAUCAUGAUAUAAAGGAUGACACACAAGGUAUCAUGGUAUAUAGGAUGACACACAAGGUAUCAUGGUAUAUAGGAUGCCACACAAAGUAUCAUGGCAUUUAGGAUUAGACACAAAGUAACAUGGUAUAUAGAAUGACACACAAGGUAACAUGGUAUAUAGGAUGACACACAAGGUAUCAUGGUAUAUAGGAUGACACACAAGGUAUCAUGGUAUAUAGGAUGAUGACACACAGGUAUCAUGGUAUAUAGGAUGACACACAAAGUAAAAUGGUAUAUAGGAUGACAAACAAAGUAACAUGGUAUAUAGGAUGACAUACAAGGUAACAUGGUAUAUAGGAUGCCACACAAGGUAUCAAGGCAUAUAGGAUGACACACAAAGUAACAUGGUAUAUAGGAUGACUUACAAGGUGUCAUGAUAUAUAGAAUGACACACCAGGUAUCAUGGUUUAUAGGAUGACACACAAGGUAACAUGGUAUAUAGGAUGACACACAAGGUAACAUGGUAUAUAGGAUGACACACAAAGUAACAUGGUAUAUAGGAUGACACACAAGGUAACAUGUUAUAUAGG
RNAcentral lists this long non-coding RNA (1342 nucleotides) under Haliotis rubra (blacklip abalone). RNAcentral's name for it is "uncharacterized LOC124271178, transcript variant X1". Lineage: Eukaryota; Metazoa; Mollusca; Gastropoda; Lepetellida; Haliotidae. The record is from RNAcentral.